Molecule: unclassified non-coding RNA, 207 nt
Filed under: Hevea brasiliensis (rubber tree)
Lineage: Eukaryota; Viridiplantae; Streptophyta; Magnoliopsida; Malpighiales; Euphorbiaceae
Source: RNAcentral
UAAUAAUCUAUCAUUUAAAGACUUAUACAAUUUUCUGUAUUAUAAUGACAGCCAAACAAACAUCAAAUAAAAAAAGAAAAUAUAAGGUUAGAAUAUUCAUGAAUGCAUGAAUUCUGAAGCUUCGUGCGUAUAUUCUGCUACUGUUCUACGAAUUUCACAUUAUAUAAUUCAUAUCCUUUUAUCUAAAGGUUGAAUUGAAAGGGUCAG